AAUCCUCAACCCCAUCGACCUCUGUCGUGUUUUGGGGCUUGGACUUGGGGCGUGCUGGCGAUCUACGUCGGCUCCCCUUUAAAUGCAUCAGUUGAAGGAGGAGCUCGAUCAUUUUCUCUCUUUUGUCGGGGGAUCAUGGACCGUUCGGUGUGAUAAUCCUGUUGCGCCGUCGGACUGCGGUCGGGUUUCGCUUUUGCUUCCAACCAAAAGGCCGUCCUCGUGAUGACCAAUUUUUUGAA
This 239-nucleotide unclassified non-coding RNA is filed under the name uncultured Amphinema. Its description in RNAcentral is "sequence contains ITS2". Lineage: Eukaryota; Fungi; Basidiomycota; Agaricomycetes; Atheliales; Atheliaceae. The record is from RNAcentral.